This is a long non-coding RNA of Magnolia sinica, 817 nucleotides long. RefSeq lists it as uncharacterized. The record is from RefSeq and is a predicted model, not a curated record. The transcript has 4 exons. Lineage: Eukaryota; Viridiplantae; Streptophyta; Magnoliopsida; Magnoliales; Magnoliaceae.
GCUUACAUAGAUGCAUUGAGAUCGGAAAGCCUCGAGCGUGUGCAACCCAGCUCUCUUACAAUCCAACACAGGCCUGGCUAGAAGGUGUGCAAUAUCCAAGCUUUCCAUCAGGUGGUUCCCCACUUCUUGAUGCCACGGUCCAAAAAUCAGGCAAGUCCAUUCCAUAUGCUUAUUCAAAGUGGAAGUAACUAUAUAGAGUGUAGGCUUAGGGGUCCACAAUGCUUACAUGGAUGCAUGAUCAAAGCUGCUCAUCAGGUACAAGCCACUAUAUGGCUUUCCUUGUGCUGAAUUCAAGUCCAUCCAUAUUGAGUUGCAUGCUAGUUAAUGCUUCUGUAAAAAGGCUCAUAUUGAGUUGCAUGCUAUGAUGCUUAUGAUGCAGUUUUAUCCUUGAAGAAAAAGGGAAGAAAAAUCUGUCCACAUAUUUAUAUAUAAAAAAAAAAAAAUCCAUAGCUAUUCUCCUCCAUCUACUAGUUACAAGUGGAGCAUUGGUAACAGACGGGGGCUUUGCUGCUUCAUAUGGGGAUGGAUAUGGACUUCAUUCGGGUGGUGCUGACAAAGGUCCUCUAUAUGGCAUGAGUUCUGGUUCUUGGGGUGCAUUUGAGAAGUCUCACCUUGGGUGUCGUUGAAGUCCGUUGAUUUUUUUAUUUCCUUUUGCUUUUCCUUGUAUCUCAAUUUGUAAAUUUUCUGUCCAUUAUGUAACCUUUCAUUCUCAGGCCCCCUGUAAAUGAGGCUGGUUGUAAAUGAUUUACAGGUUGUGUUUGAAUGCUAAUUUAAGUCUGUAAAGGUCUUUUGAUUUAGAAGAUUCAGCCUAGUAGAA